This 267-nucleotide ribosomal RNA is filed under the name uncultured Flavobacterium sp. RNAcentral's name for it is "partial 16S ribosomal RNA". It matches the Rfam family "Bacterial small subunit ribosomal RNA", at positions 1 to 277 of the family's 1533-position model. The record is from RNAcentral. Lineage: Bacteria; Pseudomonadati; Bacteroidota; Flavobacteriia; Flavobacteriales; Flavobacteriaceae.
CGCUGAGUUUGAUCCUGGCUCAGGAUGAACGCUAGCGGCAGGCCUAACACAUGCAAGUCGAGGGGUAGAGUAGCAAUACUUGAGACCGGCGCACGGGUGCGUAACGCGUAUGCAAUCUACCUUUUACAGAGGGAUAGCCCAGAGAAAUUUGGAUUAAUACCUCAUAGUAUGUGAGAAUCGCAUGGUUUUCACAUUAAAGUCACAACGGUAAAAGAUGAGCAUGCGUCCCAUUAGCUAGAUGGUAAGGUAACGGCUUACCAAGGCAAC